AUUGAACGCUGGCGGCAGGCUUAACACAUGCAAGUCGAGCGGGGGAAGGUAGCUUGCUACCGGACCUAGCGGCGGACGGGUGAGUAAUGCUUAGGAAUCUGCCUAUUAGUGGGGGACAACAUCUCGAAAGGGAUGCUAAUACCGCAUACGUCCUACGGGAGAAAGCAGGGGAUCUUCGGACCUUGCGCUAAUAGAUGAGCCUAAGUCGGAUUAGCUAGUUGGUGGGGUAAAGGCCUACCAAGACGACGAUCUGUAGCGGGUCUGAGAGGAUGGUCCGCCACACUGGGACUGAGACACGGCCCAGAGUCCUACGGGAGGCAGCAGUGGGGAAUAUUGGACAAUGGGGGGAACCCUGAUCCAGCCAUGCCGCGUGUGUGAAGAAGGCCUUAUGGUUGUAAAGCACUUUAAGCGAGGAGGAGGCUACUCUAGUUAAUACCUAGGGAUAGUGGACGUUACUCGCAGAAUAAGCACCGGCUAACUCUGUGCCAGCCGCCGCAGUAA
This 501-nucleotide ribosomal RNA is filed under the name uncultured bacterium. RNAcentral's name for it is "partial 16S ribosomal RNA". It matches the Rfam family "Bacterial small subunit ribosomal RNA", at positions 30 to 523 of the family's 1533-position model. The record is from RNAcentral.